GUUCAAGCACUGCAUGCCAAACAAAAAGGAAUUCCUCCCAAUGCAGAAAAAUAUUCCAUUGAACUAUUAAAUAGUGGAUGAAAAAAUCCUAAAAAAUUUAUAGCAACAUCUUAGCAUUUGUUAACACAUAAAUAGUAAAUAGGCAAAUGAAAUGCACAGCAAAGGCAAUGAGAGUUGAAGUUAGCAGGUCACCAUAUACAGCAAAAUGCAAAAGAAAAGAAAUCGGUAAAACCAUUAUUCUCCAGAUUUUCUUAUUUACU
This 260-nucleotide unclassified non-coding RNA is filed under the name Hevea brasiliensis (rubber tree). The record is from RNAcentral. Lineage: Eukaryota; Viridiplantae; Streptophyta; Magnoliopsida; Malpighiales; Euphorbiaceae.